Molecule: non-coding RNA, 3608 nt
Organism: Taeniopygia guttata (zebra finch)
Lineage: Eukaryota; Metazoa; Chordata; Aves; Passeriformes; Estrildidae
Source: RefSeq, a predicted model, not a curated record
AUUAGGAUUGCAAGAUCACAAAUCAAGUUGUGGUCUUGCAAACAUGCUGCUCAAUGCACAUUUCCAGAGACUGGCACUGAGGGGUCUGGUUCCCACCUGAGACUGGUAAAGCAAUGACAGAUACUGGCAACUCAGAGAAGAGCCAUCAGGAGCAGAGCCAGGUGUGCAGCAGAGCAGCUCUGUCACCAGUCAUCAGGGGGAUGGAGGCCAAAAAGACAAAGCCCAACGGAGGAGGGUGUGGAAGAUCACUGACUGAUGAUUGCUGGGAUAAUGAGUGAAGGAGACUCCUCCUGCCUUUUCAGAAUCAGGCCAAGUUCAAAAGGAACAACUUACUGAGAAACCCAGACUCAGGCAGACUAUAUUUGAUGAACAACCAAUACCCAGCAGAGCUAAUAAAGACAGCUUUCAUCUCUGCUAGAAAGAUUGAUGUAGCCUGACAUUAUAGUUUGUGCCUCAAAGGACUGAAAGGAUUUGCUCAAAUCAGUAACAGCAUCUAUGUGAUAAAGAACAAUAUUGAAUUGCUUGGUCAGAAAUACCAUUCUUUAGGAGACAAAUCUCAAACAGAAAGAAACUCCUUCCAGAUUUUAUUUCCAAUUCUAUCUGAGACAGUUGCUCUAUUUGAGAUCCCUUCAUUUACUAUAAGGUGGUACUAUCUGAGAUCCCCUUGUCUGCUAUAAGGAAUGCUAUCUGAAAUGAAGAUUAUGAGGAAAAAGAAAACAAAGACAAUUGUGUGUACUACAACUCCUGACUCAGGGCAAUUAACAAAGCUUUAGCUGUUCAAUUUCAAAUAGAGCAAGAAAAAUAAAAGCUCCCCUAAACACUGAAAUGGAAGAAGGUUAAAGCAUGUACAAGUCAAAGAACCACCUGAAGAGGUGCCUUUUUCCCCAGUAUAGACAAGGUAGAGAGAGUCCUGACGUCAAAUGGAAGUUGCUCAGUGUGCAUACUUAUGUAGGUCACUCAGGACUUAUUUAGGUCACCUUCUUUGCAGAUUUAAGCAAGUAAUUUGCUUUUUCAAAGGAAGUAGCUGCUUUAGUCCCAUACUUGCAGAUUAACACUACAAAGAAGUGUCUAGUGCCAAAGGCGACACACGCUACAUGCACGAAUAAUCUGAAAAGAAGGGAGGAAGGACAUCUUAAAAGCUAACAGAUCCAAGAAAUCAGAACUUAUCUACAUGGAACAGAGCAGACAUCCAGGCAGGCAAACCAUAAAUCCUGACAAUUUCAAUUUAGGAAUAAGUAAGGUGCCUUAUUCCUGAUGUUAGAAUUUGGCAUUCAUUGCUAUGAAGCACACAAGUCCCACAGAAUAGGAAGGAUCACAUUUUUCACUGAAAAUAAAAUAAGCUAGCGUUCAGUAAUCAGGAUAAUUUCUAAGAGAAAAUGGUCUUGUUCCCUAUCCCUUGCAGUGUUCAAGGUCAGGCUGGAUGGGCUCUGAGCAGCCUGGGCUAGUGGAAGGUACACCUGCCCAUUGCAGGGGUGUUGGAACAAGAAUAUCUUUAAGAUCCCUUCCAACCCAAGCCAUUCUAUGAUUCUAUGAUUCUGCAGCAUUACUUGCAGGAGAAGAGCCAGACUGAACUAAAAUAGGUUUCUUCACAACUUCCAGGCACUGAAGAAUGCAUCUUGAUGUCAUGACCUGAAGGAAGGGGGAGGCAAAAAGUCCAAAUCUUGUUGCCAUCUGUUUCCCUAAAUUAAGGGGAACAAAAAACCCACACAUAUGCAGACCAUAUUUAGAAGUCUGCAAAUUUAAUGUAUCUAGAGCUGACAGAUUACAGACAUCAAUAACCAGAGGGCAAAUAAGCAGUUGUGAAGUUAUUCAUUGUGGAAGAAAAAAUUAGCAAGUACUUGAGUCAUUUUAUCUUCCAGAAGAGUUUAGAAAUACAGAGAUAAGGGAUAAAAUGCAAGGAAGUACUACCAGCAACACAGGUUACAUUGUUGCUGUCCUGCUUAUCCAAAUUCUAAGAAAAUUUAAAAACAAUUACAAAGCAGUUUAUCACCAGUAUAAUGGUGAUAAUUAAUGGUAAUAAUUCCUCUGACUAAGCCUUUUUGCUAAAGUUCUUCAGUGGGAAAGACUCACAGAAUGAGUUAUUACAAUUAAUUUUUUUUUUUGUAGACAAAUAUUUAGAAGUGUCACCAUGCUACUGGGUGGUGCCAGGCAACCAUGGAAUUUUUCUGAAAUGUGACUACCUUAUAUAAGCCACGUAUGCCUUCUGUCUUGUAUAUCUUUAUAAGAGCAUCAAACAUUCCUCUGUAUUGCCGCUUGGAUGGAUCCACGCCAGCGUUAUAUUGUAGCACAAGUCGAGUCUUGGUUACCCAGAUUGGGUUUGUAAUGCAGAGAGUCAUGGCUCCUGAGAACAGACAGAAAUUACUCUCAUUGUUAUGCCAACUCCACAGAUUGUCCCAGCUUGUUCAGUCCAAUAUAACACAGGCUUCUACAAUGGCAAAACUACUUUUCCUACCAGAGCACUCAUAUUGUUUAAAACAGGUGAAGUUUAUGCCCUCCAUUGCUCCCUCUCUCUCCCUUCAAAGCUCACAGUCAAGUCCAAUUCACUUCUGCUGGGGUACUUUUGCAGGGCACAUGUAUUUUUAUCUGAAGUAGACAGAAAAUGGAAUUUCUUAAUGUACCACUGAUUAUCCUUAUUAUACUGAGUUAUUCUUCAGUAUACAAUAAUUCAAAUUUUAAUGAACAACUCAGUGUUGUGAAAUUUGCUUAAUAAUUAAGCAAAUAAUAAUAAAUAAUAAUUAAUUGAUAACAUGUUGUUAUAGCUUUAUAGGUUAUUGAAAAUAGCAUUGUAGCAGAAUCCAUUACUAUAUUUCAUGUCAAACAAUAUGCCCUAUAUUUCAACAUUAAAUGAAUGCUUCAAAAUCCUAAUAAAAAGUCUUCCAAAUUGCCUGUACAGCAUGUAGUGACAGGACAAGGAGGAAUGAUUCAAACUGGAAGAGAGUAGGUUUAGAUUAAGUAUGAGACAGAAAAUCUUUACUGUGAUGGCAGUGAGGCACUGGAACAGGUUUCCCAGAGAAUCUGUGGAUGCCUCACCUCUGGAAGUGUUCACAACCAAGAUGGAUGGGGCUUUGAGCAACCUGGUCUAGCGAGAGGUGCCCCAGCCAAAGACAGGGGGAUGAAACUAGAUUAUUUUUAAGGUCCCUUCCAACCCAAACCAUUCCAUGAUUUAAAAGGCCACCUCCUUUCAAGGUCCAAGUGUUAAAAUUUAACAAGUUAACGAUCUGAUAGAAACAGAUUUCUACAGUUACAAUUUGGGACCCAAUACAGUACUAAAUAUAGAAAGUGCUUACACAGAAUGAAAACAAGGACAAAAGACAUUCUAAUUCUGCACAAAACUGAAGGACCACAGUGACCCACCUAUUUGUGCUAGACAUCUUUGUUUUAUUUCCAGACCACAAACUAUUGCAUCUGGGCUGGAACACUAACACUUGCCACACGUAAGAAAAAGCUGCACUGACACAGAAAGGCAGGUAGCAGCAUAUGGGAAAGCUACAGGUGAACAUUAAUUUUUGCAUUUAACCUCACCUGCCUCUGCAGCUGACACUAGGUGUUCCCUUGCACUGAGACUUUCCAUCUUCCCUUCCUUCUUGUAAGCUUUGAUGGCAUUGUAA